Non-coding RNA from Arachis ipaensis, 1845 nucleotides. The record is from RefSeq and is a predicted model, not a curated record. Lineage: Eukaryota; Viridiplantae; Streptophyta; Magnoliopsida; Fabales; Fabaceae.
GCUUAGUUGAGAGUAGUAGUGUCAAUUUAGCCCAAACCUUAGGGCUAGCCCUCAACCCUACAAAAUAAUUCUAGCCCACGUCCCCAAAAAUUACAAAAUCAUAUUUUAUAAGCCCAGUCUUAAUUAAGCCCUCCCAACAAAAAUCAAAAUAGGGCUGGCCCUACAAGCCCUAAAAGCCCCAAAUAUGAUCUCCUCCUCCCUGACCCAAGAACAAGAUGCUGAAAUGGUGAUGCUGAAGACGUGAAACAGCGCCGUGCUCUUCCUCCUUCUCCUUUGCAUUCUACUUCUGCGUUCUGCUCCACCUAUGACGGUGGCUGACUUCUACACUUUGCUCCUCCUAUGACGGUGGUUGUACCCAGUGGACGACGCGGUGGUUGCUCCUCCUCCCUAACGCGGUGCUCAUCCUUCUUGAUGCAGUGGACGAAAUUAGUGGCUGCUUCUCCUCCCUCACGCAGAUUCAGAGUGUUAAUGUAUCUGGCCAUCGCAAUUUGAGGAAUUUGUUUGGAGGUGUGGUUGCCUUACAGGGAGCACAAAGAAACCUUCUGAGGACUUGUACCAGUCGCCUUAAUCCAAUUUUGGUAACUAUUAUUCCCUUUUUGUGAAUUUUUUGUCAUAUUGCUAUUAACUUAAAAUGUAGAGCAAUCUCAUUUUUGUCUUUUCUUUAUUUGUAAGUAAUCUCAGCUUUGUGGCGUUUUCAAUUUUCUUUGUUAAAUCUGAUCUAAUUGCCAUUGGCACAAACAUGCUCCUUUAUUUGCUGUUGUAUGUGUUUGGGCCCGUCAUUUUGAAUUUGGUUGGGAAGCUAAUAUAGUAUAAUUAGAGGUGUUAUUUUCAUAGCAGACAUUAUUAUAUAGUGGUUUUCUUCUCAAGUAUGCAUUUUAUUGUGGAAGAGAGUAUUUACUGAGAUUGAGAUGAUUGUUAUUUAUAUAUUUUUCAUAAUAUUGGUUUCUUUUGCUUUUGAAUAGAGACAAAUAGAGUUAAUUUAAAGAAGAAAGACCCAAUAUGACCCUUGUAAAAAAAAAGAGACACUUCGACUUUUAAUUUUUUAAUUUUAUGACAAUAUAACUAUUAAAUAGUAACUUUUAAUUUCUAAUGUUGUCAAUGAAUGUUAUUGUUGUUGCUAUAGAAUUUUAAUACACACUAUUUGGAUAUGAUUAGGAAAUUUAUAAACAUAGAUGAUGAGAUUAUUUCUGAGACUCCUGUUCAAGCUUCUCGUAGUGUUGAUUCUGGUAAAAAAAAUUAAUGUUUGGAGGUUUUUUAAGAAGAUUGAAAAAGACAGAGAUGGUAUUGAAAAGGCUGAAUGCAAUUUUUGUCAUCAUGAAUACAAAAUUGGAAAAAAUUCGAAAACUAAGAAUGGUUACGGGACUUCUCAUCUGAGUCAUCAUAUAGUUUCUUGUAAUUCCAUACCCCUCAGUAUUAGAUUUGAUGAUGAUAUAAAGGGUCUUCCAACCAAAAUUGAUCAGAAUGUUCAUCGAAAAAACUCGCUCAGGCUAUAGCAAAACAUGAUCUUGCGUUUAGCUUUGUUGAGUAUGAGGGUAUUAGAAAUUGGAUUAAUUACAUUAGUCCAACGAUUAUAAUGCUUUCUAGAAACACUUUAAUUUCAGAUCUUAAAUUGAUUUAUUCAACAGAGAAAGAAAAAUUGAAGCAGAAGAUGUCUAGGAUACCUAAUAGAAUUUGUUUGACAUCUGAUGUGUGGACAACAUCUACCACUGAAGGAUAUAUUUGUCUAACAGCUCAUUUUGUUGAUGAGAAUUGGUGACUAGUGAGUAAGAUUUUGAAUUUUUGUCGAAUGGUUCCUGAUAAACCCAUAUUUUAUGAUAUAUAUUGUGCUCAAUUCAAGAGAUUUAU